GUGCUUGCUUUGGCAGCACAUGUACUAAAAUUGGAAUGAUACAGAGAAUAUCAUGGUUCCUGCGCAAGGAUGACAUGCAAACACACGAAGUACUCCAUAUUUCU
Octodon degus (degu) is the source of this 104-nucleotide small nuclear RNA. The record is from Ensembl. Lineage: Eukaryota; Metazoa; Chordata; Mammalia; Rodentia; Octodontidae.